This 369-nucleotide long non-coding RNA is filed under the name Nicotiana benthamiana. RNAcentral's name for it is "long non-coding RNA (NBEN_LNC002034)". The record is from RNAcentral. Lineage: Eukaryota; Viridiplantae; Streptophyta; Magnoliopsida; Solanales; Solanaceae.
ACAGGGUAAUCAUGAGUCUAUAUCAAGCUUUUGUACUUGUUUGAGAACUGACGAAUGGGAUGGCCAUAAUGCAAGAGGGGAAAGUAGGGUAAGAAAGGAGUGAUGGUAAAGGUUCAGAUUCAGUCAGGUCAUCAUACAUGAGUAUACACUGCAAGCAUUUUGAUCUUGGAAAGUUACAUACAAGAAAUUCCUAAGUUAUACCUAAUCAUGUAUCUGAUUGGAAAAACUUUCUGGGGGAAACAAAGAAGUCUUGUUUAGUUAAAAAUGUAGCAUACCGUUGACAGAAGUUACUUCACAAUUUAUAAACAUGUUGUUAGAAGUCUAACUGUAUUAGAAGUCUAGUCUAAACUGUAUUAGGAGUAGGCUAGG